GCCGGGAUCGUCUAGGGGUUAGGAUAGGAGACUGUGGAUCUUCUGACACGAGUUCAAAUCUCGUUCUCGGCCC
This 73-nucleotide transfer RNA is filed under the name uncultured archaeon. RNAcentral's name for it is "tRNA-His(gtg)". It matches the Rfam family "tRNA". Rfam says of the family: Transfer RNA (tRNA) molecules are approximately 80 nucleotides in length. The record is from RNAcentral.